UGGGUGAUGGCGUGCCUUUUGUAGAAUGAACCGGCGAGUUACGAUUUGAUGCAAGGUUAAGCAGUAAAUGUGGAGCCGUAGCGAAAGCGAGUCUGAAUAGGGCGUUUAGUAUUUGGUCGUAGACCCGAAACCAGGUGAUCUACCCUUGGUCAGGUUGAAGUUCAGGUAACACUGAAUGGAGGACCGAACCGACUUACGUUGAAAAGUGAGCGGAUGAACUGAGGGUAGCGGAGAAAUUCCAAUCGAACCUGGAGAUAGCUGGUUCUCUCCGAAAUAGCUUUAGGGCUAGCCUCAAGUGAUGAUUAUUGGAGGUAGAGCACUGUUUGGACGAGGGGCCCCUCUCGGGUUACCGAAUUCAGACAAACUCCGAAUGCCAAUUAAUUUAACUUGGGAGUCAGAACAUGGGUGAUAAGGUCCGUGUUCGAAAGGGAAACAGCCCAGACCACCAGCUAAGGUCCCAAAAUAUAUGUUAAGUGGAAAAGGAUGUGGCGUUGCCCAGACAACUAGGAUGUUGGCUUAGAAGCAGCCAUCAUUUAAAGAGUGCGUAAUAGCUCACUAGUCGAGUGACACUGCGCCGAAAAUGUACCGGGGCUAAACAUAUUACCGAAGCUGUGGAUUGUCCUUUGGACAAUGGUAGGAGAGCGUUCUAAGGGCGUUGAAGCAUGAUCGUAAGGACAUGUGGAGCGCUUAGAAGUGAGAAUGCCGGUGUGAGUAGCGAAAGACGGGUGAGAAUCCCGUCCACCGAUUGACUAAGGUUUCCAGAGGAAGGCUCGUCCGCUCUGGGUUAGUCGGGUCCUAAGCUGAGGCCGACAGGCGUAGGCGAUGGAUAACAGGUUGAUAUUCCUGUACCACCUAUAAUCGUUUUAAUCGAUGGGGGGACGCAGUAGGAUAGGCGAAGCGUGCGAUUGGAUUGCACGUCUAAGCAGUAAGGCUGAGUAUUAGGCAAAUCCGGUACUCAUUAAGGCUGAGCUGUGAUGGGGAGAAGACAUUGUGUCUUCGAGUCGUUGAUUUCACACUGCCGAGAAAAGCCUCUAGAUAGAAAAUAGGUGCCCGUACCGCAAACCGACACAGGUAGUCAAGAUGAGAAUUCUAAGGUGAGCGAGCGAACUCUCGUUAAGGAACUCGGCAAAAUGACCCCGUAACUUCGGGAGAAGGGGUGCUCUUUAGGGUUAACGCCCAGAAGAGCCGCAGUGAAUAGGCCCAAGCGACUGUUUAUCAAAAACACAGGUCUCUGCUAAACCGUAAGGUGAUGUAUAGGGGCUGACGCCUGCCCGGUGCUGGAAGGUUAAGAGGAGUGGUUAGCUUCUGCGAAGCUACGAAUCGAAGCCCCAGUAAACGGCGGCCGUAACUAUAACGGUCCUAAGGUAGCGAAAUUCCUUGUCGGGUAAGUUCCGACCCGCACGAAAGGCGUAACGAUUUGGGCACUGUCUCAACGAGAGACUCGGUGAAAUCAUAGUACCUGUGAAGAUGCAGGUUACCCGCGACAGGACGGAAAGACCCCGUGGAGCUUUACUGUAGCCUGAUAUUGAAAUUCGGCACAGCUUGUACAGGAUAGGUAGGAGCCUUUGAAACGUGAGCGCUAGCUUACGUGGAGGCGCUGGUGGGAUACUACCCUAGCUGUGUUGGCUUUCUAACCCGCACCACUUAUCGUGGUGGGAGACAGUGUCAGGCGGGCAGUUUGACUGGGGCGGUCGCCUCCUAAAAGGUAACGGAGGCGCUCAAAGGUUCCCUCAGAAUGGUUGGAAAUCAUUCAUAGAGUGUAAAGGCAUAAGGGAGCUUGACUGCGAGACCUACAAGUCGAGCAGGGUCGAAAGACGGACUUAGUGAUCCGGUGGUUCCGCAUGGAAGGGCCAUCGCUCAACGGAUAAAAGCUACCCCGGGGAUAACAGGCUUAUCUCCCCCAAGAGUUCACAUCGACGGGGAGGUUUGGCACCUCGAUGUCGGCUCAUCGCAUCCUGGGGCUGUAGUCGGUCCCAAGGGUUGGGCUGUUCGCCCAUUAAAGCGGUACGCGAGCUGGGUUCAGAACGUCGUGAGACAGUUCGGUCCCUAUCCGUCGUGGGCGUAGGAAAUUUGAGAGGAGCUGUCCUUAGUACGAGAGGACCGGGAUGGACAUACCUCUGGUGUACCAGUUGUCGUGCCAACGGCAUAGCUGGGUAGCUAUGUGUGGACGGGAUAAGUGCUGAAAGCAUCUAAGCAUGAAGCCCCCCUCAAGAUGAGAUUUCCCAACUUCGGUUAUAAGAUCCCUCAAAGAUGAUGAGGUUAAUAGGUUCGAGGUGGAAGCAUGGUGACAUGUGGAGCUGACGAAUACUAAUCGAUCGAAGACUUAAUCAA
Molecule: ribosomal RNA, 2331 nt
Filed under: Staphylococcus aureus M0359
Lineage: Bacteria; Bacillati; Bacillota; Bacilli; Caryophanales; Staphylococcaceae
Description: bacterial LSU rRNA
Rfam family: Bacterial large subunit ribosomal RNA
Source: RNAcentral